UGCUAGUCGCGCGGGUUCAGACCCGCGGCAUAUAGCUCAGUAACACGUGGCCAAACUACCCUAUGGACAGGGACAACCUCGGGAAACUGAGGCUAAUCCCUGAUACCACUCUCAUGCUGGAGUGCAGAGAGUGAGAAACGCCCCGGCGCCAUAGGAUGUGGCUGCGGCCGAUUAGGUAGAUGGUGGGGUAACAGCCCACCAUGCCCAUAAUCGGUACAGGUUGUGAGAGCAAGAACCCGGAGACGGAAUCUGAGACAAGAUACCGGGCCCUACGGGGCGCAGCAGGCGCGAAACCUUUACACUGCACGACAGUGCGAUAAGGGGACUCCGAGUGCGAGGGCAUAUAGUCCUCGCUUUUCUGUACCGUAGGGAGGUACAGGAACAAGUGCUGGGCAAGACCGGUGCCAGCCGCCGCGGUAAUACCGGCAGCACGAGUGAUGACCGAUAUUAUUGGGCCUAAAGCGUUCGUAGCCGGCCACGCAAGUCCACCGGGAAAUCCGCCAGCCCAACUGGCGGGCGUCCGGUGGAAACUGUGUGGCUUGGGACCGAAAGACCCGAGGGGUACGUCUUGGGUAGGAGUGAAAUCCCGUAAUCCUGGACGGACCGCCGAUGGCGAAAGCACUUCGGGAAGACGGAUCCGACGGUGAGGGACGAAAGCCAGGGUCUCGAACCGGAUUAGAUACCCGGGUAGUCCUGGCCGUAAACGAUGUCUGCUA
RNAcentral lists this ribosomal RNA (716 nucleotides) under uncultured archaeon. RNAcentral's name for it is "bacterial SSU rRNA". It matches the Rfam family "Archaeal small subunit ribosomal RNA", at positions 52 to 769 of the family's 1478-position model. The record is from RNAcentral.